RNAcentral lists this unclassified non-coding RNA (1189 nucleotides) under Hevea brasiliensis (rubber tree). Lineage: Eukaryota; Viridiplantae; Streptophyta; Magnoliopsida; Malpighiales; Euphorbiaceae. The record is from RNAcentral.
GAGAAAAAUAAUUCUGCAAUGAGAAAUUAUUCACACUAGAUAGAUAUCAUAUAAAGUUGCAAUGCUACAUGUUAUCGAGAAUGCUUGACAAGUGCCGUCCCUUCUGUCAAGCGCACUCUACAAGCAAGUAAUGCUGUUUUUUAACACACAAGAACCAAGAUAUAUCUCAUUGUCAAGAAUCAUAAAAUAUUACUUUUAGUAUGGAAUCAGUACAAAUUGUUCUCUGAGCUAGUUGCGGUAUUCACAGGUGAACUGCACAAAUGUAAUAAUAGAAGAAGCAAAAUUGAAUCAGAAAUUUGAGGAGACAUUACUCAUAUUCCAACAAAAAGAAAUGCAAGAAGGCGGCAAGUUUUUGACUUUAAAGAUAUCCAUCUCUCCUGUCUUGUUCUUCAGCUUCUUUAUUAGCAAUUUGAACAGAUUUGAACCACAAAAAUGCCUGCGGAGAUAGAAAACUGUAUAAACGAAAAUCCCAAGGAGAUAAAAUUUUCCAAUUCGACCACUGCAAAGAGAAAAAAAAAAUUACGUACAGAAGUGGGGAUGCCAGUAAAAGCAAAGAAUCCGAGCAAUGGAGCAUAGAAGAUGUUGUCGGAGUUCAAAAUUCCAAAAACAGGCUUUUGAUUCACAUACUCAAACACAGAACCUAUCUGCAUUCAUUCAACUCUAAUCAGUGAACCUAUUUAUGAUCUAUCGCCUUUCAAUUUUCAUGGUAGAUAGAGCGGAAAAUUAAGGAGAAGCUUACAGCAGCAAUUGCGGUAAUUGCUGAGGCAAGUAAGUAAACAAAGAAGGGAAUCUCGAAAUUCUGCUUCGCAGAGUUGGCGUUGGCGUUGCCAUUGGCUUCAUCCCGGGCCCAAGGAGGAAGCUCAUCGGAAUCUGGUCUAGCCCAAGAUGGGAUAGAUUCCUCAGAUUUGGUGGAGUUUGCAGAACCUUCAGUUGCAGCAACCACGAGCAACCUAUGAGAAAAUUUGCGGCUUCCACAAGUUAUCCCCGUGGUUGGUUGAUCCAGAUUUAGUAUCCUCGGUCUAACAUCUACCAUUAUGGUGGAAUAUAGAGCACGGAUUGAGUUUAAAUUGCACGAAAACAACAAGUUUGCAGCCAUUGUUUCCUUCUCUAACCCAAAGAGUGAAGACUGAAGACUGGAGCUAAUGCCUAAUGCUCAGCGCUGCCCAGCCGCACGUAAACUUAUCGCCUG